RNAcentral lists this ribosomal RNA (230 nucleotides) under uncultured eukaryote. RNAcentral's name for it is "partial 18S ribosomal RNA". It matches the Rfam family "Eukaryotic small subunit ribosomal RNA", at positions 1299 to 1443 of the family's 1831-position model. The record is from RNAcentral.
UCGUGUUUUGAAAUGUCUGGUUGAUUCCGUUAACGAACGAGACUUCCGCCUUUAAAUAGAGUGGAUAAGCGAGUGUGGUGGAGCUUGAGGUCAAGAGGUGAGCCCGGCCGCUGCAGAAGGGUUUUAGUCCCCUGUGGAUGGUUGACUGUGCUGUGCUCUGGCUGAUCCACUUACCGCUUGUUCAAGUGAAUCUCUUCUUAGAGGGACAAAUGGCAAAAAGCCAUGGGAAG